ACUAGGAUGUUGGCUCAGAAGCAGCCACCAUUUAAAGAGUGCGUAACAGCUCACUAGUCGAGUGCCUCCGCGCCGAAGAUUUACCGGGGCUAAGCAUGAUACCGAAUUCACGGAUUAAUAGUUUCUAUUAGUGGUAGGGGAGCGUUCCAUGAGGGUUGAAGCCAUAUCGAAAGAAGUGGUGGACUUCAUGGAAGUGAGUAUGCCGGUGUAAGUAACGAAUGAGGGUGAGAAUCCCUCACACCGUUUGACUAAGGUUUCCUGGGCAAGGUUCGUCCUCCCAGGGUAAGUCGGGACCUAAGGCGAGGCCGAAAGGCGUAGUCGAUGGACAGCAGGUUGAUAUUCCUGUACCCGUACAUAUGCGAAGUAAUGACAGAGAAGGCUAAACCAAGCCGGUUAAUGGAUUCCGGUCGAAGCGAGGUAGCUGCAUCAUAGGCAAAUCCGUGGUGCAUAAGGCGAAGGCGUGAGGGAGUGAAUGGAGCGAUCCUAGUAGCGAAGUGGUUGAUGCCAGCUUUCAAGAAAAGUUGCUAGCUUAAGUAUGUGCGGCCCGUACCGAGAACGAACACACGUGGUCAAGGAGAAUAUCCUAAGGUGAGCGAGAUAACUGUUGUUAAGGAACUCUGCAAAAUCACUUCGUAAGUUAGCAAGAAGAAGUGCUCCAGCGAUGGAGCCGCAGUGAAUAGGCCCAGGUAACUGUUUAACAAAAACACAGCUCUAUGCUAAGUCGUAAGACGAUGUAUAUGGGGUGACGCCUGCCCAGUGCUGGAAGGUUAAAAGGAGAGGUUAGCGCAAGCGAAGCUUUGAUCUGAAGCCCCAGUGAACGGCGGCCGUAACUAUAACGGUCCUACGGUAGCGAAAUUCCUUGUCAGGUACGUUCUGACGCGCACGAAUGGCGUAAUAAUCUGGGCGCUGUCUCGACAGCAGACUCGGUGAAAUCUUAAUACCUGUGAAAAUGCAGGUUACCCGCGACUAGACGGAAAGACCCCAUGGAGCUUUACUAUAACUUAAUAUUGAGUGAUUGUAGUUCAUGUACAGGAUAGGUAGGAGGCUAUGAAGCCAGGGCGUCAGCUUUGGUGGAGCCAACGUUGGGAUACUACUCUUGGACUAUGAUCAUUCUAACUCACGCCCUACACGGGGUGGAGGACAGUGUUAGGCGGGUAGUUUGACUGGGGCGGUCGCCUCCUAAAAGGUAACGGAGGCGCCCAAAGGUACCCUCAGCAUGGUUGGAAAUCAUGCAUCGAGUGCAAAGGCAUAAGGGUGCUUGACUGCGAGACAUACAAGUCGAGCAGGGACGAAAGUCGGGCUUAGUGAUCCGGCGGUUCCGCGUGGAAGGGCCGUCGCUCAACGGAUAAAAGCUACCCUGGGGAUAACAGGCUGAUCGCAUCCAAGAGUUCACAUCGACGAUGCGGUUUGGCACCUCGAUGUCGGCUCAUCUC
This 1433-nucleotide ribosomal RNA is filed under the name metagenome. Its description in RNAcentral is "bacterial LSU rRNA". It matches the Rfam family "Bacterial large subunit ribosomal RNA", at positions 1092 to 2543 of the family's 2925-position model. The record is from RNAcentral.